This 59-nucleotide transfer RNA is filed under the name Ixodes hexagonus (hedgehog tick). RNAcentral's name for it is "tRNA-Arg". Lineage: Eukaryota; Metazoa; Arthropoda; Arachnida; Ixodida; Ixodidae. The record is from RNAcentral.
AAAAUAAAGCGAUACUAUUGCAAUCAGUUUCGACCUGAUUUUAGACGAAGUCUAUUUUU